This 72-nucleotide transfer RNA is filed under the name Ovis aries (sheep). It matches the Rfam family "tRNA". Rfam says of the family: Transfer RNA (tRNA) molecules are approximately 80 nucleotides in length. Their secondary structure includes four short double-helical elements and three loops (D, anti-codon, and T loops). The record is from Rfam by way of RNAcentral. Lineage: Eukaryota; Metazoa; Chordata; Mammalia; Artiodactyla; Bovidae.
CCCUAGUUGGCUCAGAUGGUAAAGAAUCUGUCUGCAAUGCAGGAGAUCCAGGUUCAAUCCCUGGGUUGGAAA